This is a non-coding RNA of Pelobates cultripes (western spadefoot toad), 209 nucleotides long. The record is from the annotation of a GenBank genome assembly. Lineage: Eukaryota; Metazoa; Chordata; Amphibia; Anura; Pelobatidae.
GGAGAUGGGGAGCUUCUCUCUAAAUCUGAGAUAUAACGAGUUAGAAUGACACCUGGCUGGCACGGGACUAUAACCAUACCGACCAAUACUGGGAGAUGGGGAGCUUUUCUCUAGAUCUGAGAUAUGAGUUAGAAUGACACCUGGCUGGCAUGGGACUAUAACCAUACCGACCAAUACUGGGAGAUGGGGAGCUUCUCUCUAAAUCUGAG